Molecule: ribosomal RNA, 282 nt
Filed under: Pseudo-nitzschia multiseries
Lineage: Eukaryota; Bacillariophyta; Bacillariophyceae; Bacillariales; Bacillariaceae
Description: partial 28S ribosomal RNA
Rfam family: Eukaryotic large subunit ribosomal RNA
Source: RNAcentral
UUCCUUGGAAAAGGACAGCUGAGAGGGUGACACUCCCGUCCGCCUGGCAGAGUGAGUCAUUUGUCAACGAGUCGAGUCGUUUGGGAUUGCAGCUCUAAUUUGGUGGUAAAUUCCAUCUAAAGCUAAAUAUUGGUGGGAGACCGAUAGCGUACAAGUACCGUGAGGGAAAGAUGCAAAGAACUUUGAAAAGAGAGUUAAAGAGUACCUGAAACUGCUGAAACGGAAGCGAAGGAAACCAGUGUUUGUUUGUUCAUAUUUCCCUAGCCACUUGUGGCUUGGGCG